AUAGUUUAAUAUUUAUAAGGAUUCAAAAUAUACAGAGUUACACAACAAAAGGGUGAUCAAACUAUAUGUAUGGAGACAUAUAGCUGAGAGCGUAUUUCUUAAUUAAGUCUAAAACAACUCUAAAAAUAUAAUGCUGCCAUAGGGAAGAAAGUACGACAGAAGGUGAUCAUCCGAAACAACAAUCCCCGCCAACACCAAGCCAUCCUCCGGCCAUGCUUAUCCUACACAUUUAGAAAUAUAUGCAAGGCGUGAGUACAUAAUUGUCGCAGCCCGGUUCCGACACUAGUAAUAGCGGGGACCGAGUAUCGAUACGACUAAUAAAAGAAAGGGGAAAUAUAGAAAGAAUACAUAGAUCAACAGCGGAAGCUCACGAAGAAACAUGCUAAGGAAAGAUUAUCAUAAUUCAUCAAAAGGGUAUAUCCGUCAACAUCGUCAUAACUAGAUAAAUAUCGGGAAUCUCAACAUGAAAAGCAAAACAAGUGUAACUCAAUUUUUAUGUAGAGUCAUAAUAUUCAGAGUGUGACAACAAAAGGUGAACCGACUAUAUGUAUGAAGACACAUAAUCGUGAGUAAAAUGCUUGAUUUAAUACAACAUAACUUCAUAUCUAAACUCUAUCGACAAAACAAACAUACGAUAGAGAAAGAAAAUGUCAACCCGAAACAUUCCCCACCAGCACCGCACCAUACUCCCCCUCCGCUUAUCCU
RNAcentral lists this long non-coding RNA (705 nucleotides) under Salvia miltiorrhiza (redroot sage). RNAcentral's name for it is "long non-coding RNA (SMIL_LNC006562)". The record is from RNAcentral. Lineage: Eukaryota; Viridiplantae; Streptophyta; Magnoliopsida; Lamiales; Lamiaceae.